UUGUAGCUCACUGGAGAGAGCGUCUGCUUUCUAAGCUGAAAGUCAUAGGUUCGAUCCUUGGCAA
This 64-nucleotide transfer RNA is filed under the name Salix viminalis (osier). It matches the Rfam family "tRNA", at positions 5 to 66 of the family's 71-position model. From Rfam's summary of the family: Transfer RNA (tRNA) molecules are approximately 80 nucleotides in length. Their secondary structure includes four short double-helical elements and three loops (D, anti-codon, and T loops). Lineage: Eukaryota; Viridiplantae; Streptophyta; Magnoliopsida; Malpighiales; Salicaceae. The record is from Rfam by way of RNAcentral.